RNAcentral lists this transfer RNA (76 nucleotides) under Acidobacteriota bacterium. RNAcentral's name for it is "tRNA-Thr". It matches the Rfam family "tRNA". From Rfam's summary of the family: Transfer RNA (tRNA) molecules are approximately 80 nucleotides in length. Their secondary structure includes four short double-helical elements and three loops (D, anti-codon, and T loops). Further hydrogen bonds mediate the characteristic L-shaped molecular structure. tRNAs have two regions of fundamental functional importance: the anti-codon, which is responsible for specific mRNA codon recognition, and the 3' end, to which the tRNAs corresponding amino acid is attached (by aminoacyl-tRNA synthetases). tRNAs cope with the degeneracy of the genetic code in two manners: having more than one tRNA (with a specific anti-codon) for a particular amino acid; and 'wobble' base-pairing, i.e. permitting non-standard base-pairing at the 3rd anti-codon position. Lineage: Bacteria; Pseudomonadati; Acidobacteriota. The record is from RNAcentral.
GCCGACGUAGCUCAGCUGGUAGAGCGGUCGAUUCGUAAUCGACAGGUCAGCGGUUCAAUCCCGCUCGUCGGCUCCA